This is a long non-coding RNA of Callithrix jacchus (white-tufted-ear marmoset), 4211 nucleotides long. The record is from Ensembl. Lineage: Eukaryota; Metazoa; Chordata; Mammalia; Primates; Cebidae.
GGGAAGCCUCGUCAGAUGGGGACAGGGCUAGGCAUGCUUGAGCUUAGAUUGUUCUUGAGCAGGUCUUGCUGCAGCGGCUGUGGGGGAUGGGGUGAGCUUUCCAGGUCAACAGACUUGUGUACCUAGGAAGAUCACAACUGCCUCUGCUGAUUCAGGUUCAUUGUCGGGGAACUGGGGAAAAGCCAGGAGUCACAGGCAUCGCUAGCUCCCAAGAAAACUGAAGAGCUGGUCUCACUCCCACCACGCCCCUCCUAACAGCACCGAGUGUUUCUUGGCAAUGGGUGAGCAGGGCUUGAGAACUUGUCCCAGGCUACCUGCUUCCCAGCUGUGAGAGAAAGUGCUUUGUUUUUUCCCCUGACUGUGGAGUCUACACAGGAGAUUUGUACCUCCCCUGAGUUUCUGGCCAGGAGGCUUGUUGCCCAGCUCAAACUGUUACAAAGUUCAAAGAAGAAAGUUGGAGACUUUCUUCUCCCUUUGGCAUUUUCCCUCACACCUCUAGCUGCCCUUUUGAAGGAUAUCUGUGGUGCUAGGCAGAAAUGGCGUGCUUGGAGACCCCCGCAAGCUCCCAGGCCUUUCCUGCUGCUCCUCUACCCCUGUAUUUUGCUCAGCUCUCUAAAUUGCUCAGCUCAAGUAUCCUUGACUGGUUCCAAGUCCACAGGAGAAACUCUGGCACUCUCUAGUCCCUGCUCCUGCUCUGUAUGGAGGCCACAGAUCCCAGCUCUGCCGCCUGCUGGGAUGGACAGAAAGAGUAGACCCCAGAAUCCCAUCCAGGAUCCUACGCUGCAUUUAGUCAUCCAGCUCCUAAGGCUCCUCCGAUCUGUGACAGCUCCGGGGUCUGUCCUUGUUUCUCAUGACCUGAUGCUUUUGAAGAGUAGCAGUCAGCAUCUCGCAGAAUGUUCCUCAGUUUGGAUUUAUCUGUGGUUUUCUCAUGAUGAGACUGAGGCAGUGGGUUCUGGGGAAGAAGAAAGCAAAUGUUCCUCAGGCAUCGCGAGUUCUGCAUGUGGAGCUGCGGAUGUUUCUAUUGAGCGCUCAGGGUGCCUUAAUGGCCUGGCAUUGAUCAGAGCUAUCGACCUUGUGGUUUCAAGUAACCGACAAGGUUUCCAAUGGAUCCAGAUAAUUAAGACUUCUCAAAUGGCAACUAAUAAUUUGCAUUUGCAGUGCAGCCAGCCUUAGGAGCUCAGGGAACCCACACAGGACAAGGAUAUGAUAGCUAGUAUCUCCAGGCGUCUUCGUCCAGGAGGUGAGCUUCAGAAUGGAAAUCAUGGGCAAAGAGUAAUGGAGCAGAAUGAUAGAAAAGUCUGAGCUCUUCACUACCAUGGAGCCAUCAGCAGAGCCCUGGAUUGCCUACCCUAGACUUGCUUUAAUGAGAGAAAAUUACCACUAUCUCAUUUACUGCACAAUUUAGGUUUUUUAUUCCACACAGCCAAGUUACAGCUAGUCAAGUCUCACAGCUAGUAAGUAGCAGAGCUGGGAUUUGAAAUGAGGACUUUCUUGGUUUAAAGCACAUUUCAUUCACCACUGUGCCAUUCAUUCAUGUGGAGAACAUCCACGCGUGUGCCUUCACAUGCUCUCCACUGUGCUAGGUACUAAAGAUGCUAAGAUGAAUAAAACCGUAUGACAAUUUAGUUCUGACAUACACUAGAGGUGUGUAAGAGAGAGAAUAACUGCCUACCUCGGUGGCAAAGUAAUUGUAAAGUGGGCAACUUCAGCAGAAGUAUUUUUUUUUUUUUUGAGACAGCUUCAUUCUUGUUGCCCAUUCUGGAGUGCAGUGGUGCAAUCUUGGCCCACUUCAACCUUCAGCUUCUGGGUUCAAGUGGUUCCCCUUGAACUCAGCCUCCCGAGUAGCUGGGAUUACAGGCACCCACCACCAUGUCCAGCUAAUUUUUUUGUAUUUUUAGUAGAGACAGCGUUUCACCAUGUUGGCCAGAGUGUUCUCAAACUCCUGACCUCAGGUGAUCCACCUGCCUUAGCUUCCCAAAAUGCAGGGAUUACAGGCUUAAGCCACCGUGCUUGGCCAGAAAUUUUUAAUAUUUGGAUUUACUAAUAAAAUUGAAAGAGAUAUUAUAUUCAAAACAACUAGAUGACUCGAGGUUAUGUUGAGGAUUGAGAGAAGGAGGAAUUUUCUAACAAUUAUGGCUUUCUCUUGAUAGUUGACUUUUAAAUAGCUUUGUAAGGGUAUUGGCCUUUGCCAUGUAAAAAGCCAUUCCUUAAUAUAAAGAUGCAAAUAAACAUUUUGUGUGCUUAUAAUUCUAUAGGUCAGCAACUGAAGUGGGGCUUAGCUGAGCAGUUCUGAUCUUGCCAGAAUCUCCAAGGUGCUCAGUGAUGGGAUAAGAAGCUUGGUAUCAUUCUAGUGAUGUAUUCCCUGACAAUCCUUGCAUUAGAAACAUAGUUUAUCAUUAUAUUUUCUUGUUAAUUAGCUCCGAUUUCUUAUUAAUUUUCUCUGUUUUCUCAUUGAUCUAUAACUAGUAUUUGUCAUAACAUACAUAGGCCAGUGAUUACAAAUUAUUGGGGAAGGAGAGAGAUUCUGAAUGGUGGAGUGAUGGAAGAGGCAUUUUGUAAUGUAUUAAAGUUUAAAUAAUGACUCAACAUUUUUACCCAAAAUGCAUAUCUUCACUGAUGGUCUCCUGAAUUCUUGAAUUAAACUGUUGUGUUUAUGUAUAAAAUACUAUUAUCAUCGCUCUUAAAGUUGCUGUUAUGUUAUGAAGCUAUUCAUGAACUUGAAGAUUCUUAUAACACACAGAGCACAGAAGGGAUUGGUAUGACCCCAGAAAUAUCAAUCAGGGGAGCUUCCAUGGUAUACGAAUUGUCUCUAUCAAGGUCGACUUCCAGCUGUUCCAUGGGAGACAACCAUUCUCCUUCUCCACCCAUUGAACCUUCAGAUAUCCAGUCACCAACACAAACAAGAUCCUCUGGGAUAUUACUGAAGGCAUGAAGGAGGCCAAAAGUGGGAGGAGAGGGCCUGGGAGAACAUGGGCACAAACAGCUGUGUGAGAUGAAGCCACAAUUAAAAGGGGGACAAGGCUUUGAGAGUGUGAUCUUCAGCAUAGAAGUGGGGUACCAAGUAGGCAUUUGGUUCAAGAGAAAAAAUGCCUACUGUGCUUCUUGGAAAAAAAAAAAAAAUUUGGGCUGUGCUUCUUGGCUUCUUAUGUUCAGAGCCAAUGGUGAGUAUAUGUGGUGGGGGGGGUGCAUGGUGUGGGGCAGGGGUCCCCAAUCCCACUCCCCAACACCUAGACUGUGGGCCCAUACCAGUCUGUGGCCUGUUAGGAGUCAGGCUCCAUAGCAGGAGCACUAUCUCCAUCAGCACCUCCUGUCAGAUCAGCAGCAGCACUAGGUUCUCGUAGGAGCGUGAACCCUAUUGUGAAUACUACACUUGAGUGAUCUAGGUUGAGCAGUCCUUAUGAAAAUCUAAUGCCUGAUGAUCUGAGGUGGAAUAGUUUCAUCCCCAAACCAUCCCCCACCACCAUCCACCAUCCAUGGAAAAUUGUCUCCCAGGAAAGUGGUCCCUGGUGCCAAAAAGGUUGGGAACUGCUGCUGUGGGGGAAGCAGGGUUGUGGAAAUUCCAGGCAGAGGAAACAGCAGACUUAAAGUGAAGUACUAAAGAAGUCCCAUGUCACUAGGGAAAAGAAUGAAAAAUGAGGGGCCCCAGGUCUCCAAUCUCUGCAAAACCCAGAGUGACGCCAAUGUCCAGUACUUCCUCCCUGCUUGGAAGGCUCAGUCUUAUAGACUGUGUCAUUCUCUUGGCACUGCUAGACUUGAUAAUCUGUCAGGAUUUUACAUUUUUACAGGUUUGCUGAGACAGUGUCCAUGAAUAGAUAAGGAGAGUAUCACUGUUAUUCCUAAUUUCCAGUGAAGAAAAUGAAACUUGGAAGUGCAGGAGUCUUGGUAAAGGUGGCUCAGUAGGUAAGGGGAGGAACUAGGACCUGAGCUGAGGUUUUUCCUGUCGAUCCAUGUGGCUCAUUAUGCUCAUGUAUGUGCAUUUACAUAAGCCCAAAUCUGCUUAGAUCUCGCAAUCUCUGGUUCUGCAAAUAUGUAUUAAAUGCCUAAUGUAUAUCUCACAGGGGAUACAGUCCUGAGAAAGAAAACGUCUCCAGUCACAGAGAAAAAUGAUGGCCAAGUCAUCAAACAAGCAGAACAUUGUUUUAAAUGGUGCUAAAGCAAGAUGGGGUGGGGGGGUGGACAGUGAGGAUUGGGUGGGAUUUCAGGAGGGUGGU